This is a non-coding RNA of Cyanistes caeruleus (blue tit), 1160 nucleotides long. NCBI's taxonomy places the organism in Eukaryota, Metazoa, Chordata, Aves, Passeriformes, Paridae. The record is from RefSeq and is a predicted model, not a curated record.
CCGGGACGGAGCUUGAGUGCUUGUGGAAUUUGACGGUGCCACUGAGCUGCAGUGACAGAAACACAGUGAGCUGUAUAAACUCCAGGUCCUAAGAAGUUUUCUGUGAACACAGUGGAUCAUUUUUUUUCCUGGCAUGAUGUGCUGAGGAUAUUAACUUCCUACAAAUUACUUCACUAAGAAAUAUGGGCACUUCUUCCUUUUCAAAUGUCUGCUUGCAGAAGAAAGUACAGCAGAGGAAGGAAUGCAGUUCAUGGGACCCUUUGAAGUUAAUCAUGGCACUCCUAAUUGUGAUGAAAUUUCACCUGGCACUAAAGCUUGCCACCAUCUGCAAAGUGACAGUUACAGGUGUUCAGAUUCCUGUGAUGACAGUUGGAAGCUAAGCAAAAAUGAAGACACUCUCCUUAUACCCAAACCUGGUCUUUCAAAAUGUGAUCAUUUGAGGACAUCCUACUAUGAUGUCAGAGCAGCAUUCUGAGAAAAAAAUUACAGCUUGAUGAGUUCCUGCCAGUGAACAUCUCCAUCAGCUGUGGCUCCCAUCCAGCAUCCUCUGAGUUGGAAGUGGAGUCUGUUCCAUAGAUGUUGGAAGCAAAGCACGAGUAACGCCCUGUGUCCUCCUCAAAAGCUUCAACAAUAAUCAGAUUCUGCAGUUUUUAGAAGCACAAAGAGUGAUUGGUUGAAAGUCAGUGACAGUUUUAAUUGUGUAAGUAGAUAUAGAAAACUCAUUUGUUAAUUUAUAGAAACAAUUCACCUGUCUAUUGUUAAUUGGGUAAAAAUGGAUGUAAAGAUGAAACAGCCGCCUGGUUCAGGGCCAUUUUGUGCCUUCAGAGCCAAAGUGAGGCAGGUUAUGGUGAACUGAACUUGUGCAGAAAGUCUGGAGAGACCUGCCAAGUUCUGUGAUAACAUCCUAAUAAACAGGAGAAACAAGAUCCUGACGAGCUCUGGAGUUUUCUUCAGGCCCAGAGAACUGAGAUAAACGGAGCUCCCAUGGAGAAGGAUCCCAAAGGAGCUCGGCUCAGAAGGGACCGAGAAAUCCGUUUGGAGAAGUGCAACAUCAAGCAGAGAAAAAGUAACAUCCAGAGCCCUCUGGAGCAAGUUUUUGCUGCCCAUUCCUGGUUUGCAUCCCAGCAAGAGCUGAUCCUGCUCUUCCCAAGGCUGAUCAG